CUCCGGUUGAUCCUGCCGGACCCGACUGCUAUCAGAGUGGGACUAAGCCAUGCGAGUCAACAUAGCAAUAUGUGGCAUACGGCUCAGUAACACGUAGUCAACAUGCCCAGGGGACGUGGAUAACCUCGGGAAACUGAGGAUAAACCGCGAUAGGUCAUCACUUCUGGAAUGGGUAAUGACUUAAAUCUAUAUGGCCCCUGGAUUGGACUGCGGCCGAUCAGGCUGUUGGUGGGGUAAUGGCCCACCAAACCUGUAACCGGUACGGGCUCUGAGAGGAGGAGCCCGGAGAUGGGCACUGAGACAAGGGCCCAAGCCCUAUGGGGCGCAGCAGGCGCGAAACCUCUGCAAUAGGCGAAAGCUUGACAGGGUUACUCUGAGUGAUUUCCGUUAAGGAGAUCUUUUGGCACCUCUAAAAAUGGUGCAGAAUAAGGGGUGGGCAAGUCUGGUGUCAGCCGCCGCGGUAAUACCAGCACCCCGAGUGGUCGGGACGUUUAUUGGGCCUAAAGCAUCCGUAGCCGGUUCUACAAGUCUUCCGUUAAAUCCACCUGCUUAACAGAUGGGCUGCGGAAGAUACUAUAGAGCUAGGAGGCGGGAGAGGCAAGCGGUACUCGAUGGGUAGGGGUAAAAUCCGUUGAUCCAUUGAAAACCACCAGUGGCGAAGGCGGCUUGCCAGAACGCGCUCGACGGUGAGGGAUGAAAGCUGGGGGAGCAAACCGGAUUAGAUACCCGGGUAGUCCCAGCUGUAAACGAUGCAGACUCGGUGAUGAGUUGGCUUAUUGCUAACUCAGUGCCGCAGGGAAGCCGUUAAGUUUGCCGCCUGGGGAGUACGGUCGCAAGACUGAAACUUAAAGGAAUUGGCGGGGGAGCCC
RNAcentral lists this ribosomal RNA (869 nucleotides) under uncultured archaeon. RNAcentral describes it as "bacterial SSU rRNA". It matches the Rfam family "Archaeal small subunit ribosomal RNA", at positions 1 to 879 of the family's 1478-position model. The record is from RNAcentral.